Molecule: unclassified non-coding RNA, 3298 nt
Filed under: Hevea brasiliensis (rubber tree)
Lineage: Eukaryota; Viridiplantae; Streptophyta; Magnoliopsida; Malpighiales; Euphorbiaceae
Source: RNAcentral
GUGUGGUUUAAGAGGAGGGGGCUGGAAAAAAAAAAAAAAAACCCAUCCGACUUCUUCUCCCGCUGAGUUCCUAGAGACCAUUGAAAUCCCCAAUUCCUUUCCCUCUUACCAAUUCCUCUUCCUUCGCUGCAAACUCAAAUCUCCAUCUCGGAGCAGGCCUGAAGCUACCUUGCGGCUGCAACUAUUCAACUUGGGGUUCGAAGAAUUUAAGGUGCUUUUGCGAGGGUAAAUGGGGAAAUGAGGUGUCAACCUCAAUGAAUCUAGAUAUUUGCUCUUGUUCUUUUGACUUAGGGAGCUUAGAACAAUUGUUUUUGUUUGAUGGGUUGAAGAAAUUUCUUUCAAAUCUUGGGCAUUUCUUUAGCACUCGGUUUGGGUCUUAGUUCUACUAGAUUGAAUAGUGAGAAAUUUGGUUGAUAAUUUUCCUCUUUGAAUUCAUGUGCUGCAACUUUUUUUUUAAUAAAAAAAAUGUUGGUUUGCUCAUCUAUAAUCUAUUGUUGUGAAAAACUGAAUGGGUUUGUACUAGUUUAGCAAUCUGAAUCUGUUUUUAGUCAAAUUUCCUGUUCCUUCACACAAUUUACAGUCCUUAUUGGAGCUCACAUGUGUCUGUUGUGGUUUUUGUUGAUAUUUUAAUAUAUUUCAUAUGUUUGCUGGUUCGAUCUGCUAGUUUUCUUGGUGGGAUGUCAACUCCUUGUUUAAUUCUUUGGGACUGUUUUGUGCAGUUGGGGUAGUGAUUACACGCUUCUUGCAUUUCUUUCAUUUUUUGUUCAGCCUAAAUUUCGGUUAUUCAGUUUUUGUCAAGAUUCGAACGGUGGAUAUCAAUUAAACAUGUUUUAGGUGGAGUACUAAGUAGGAGGUCCGAUUAAAUUUCUAACUGAAUGCAGCUCUUUUAAUUAUGAAAUUGCAGUUGUUUCCCUUGAUUACUUUCAUUGGUCUUUGCUUGUGUUUAUUGUUUCUAGACUUCACCCACUUUAGUAUGGCCUGUCCAAGAUUUGAGUUUGGAUUGAAUUUAUGAACAAAUUGAAUUAUUUUUAAUGGUAGGUUUGUCUCCUUUUAUGGUGCUUAUCUAUUUGUCUGUACUACAUAAAUUUGAAAAUUUGCCUACUUCUUGUGACAGUUUUUAUGUUAUCUAUUGAUUGAUAAUAACCCAUUUAAAAUACUACAGCAAUCACAAUUUUGUGCAAUUACAUAUGUUUUGACAAUAAUGGCAAUUCUUUUGCUGUUAUCUACUUCAUGUGACAAUUACAUAUGUUUCAGCAACAAAAACAUGCUGCGCAAAUCAAUCAGUUAUUGCAAUUUUGUGCUGUAUGUGAAUUUCUUUUCUAAUGUUUUUAUUUUUUUUUUCCAGGUUCAAUAACUUGUUGAAGGUUAGUGAGAUUUAUGAAAAUGCUACAAUGUUCUUAAACAUUUUGCACUAGUAGGAUUGAGAGAAAGUGAGUUAUAGAAAAGUGGGCUCAUUUCAAGACCUUUAAUGAGCUAAAUACUGCUACAUAAAAGUGAAGGUGAAGUAUGAGGGAUUUGAAGUUCCCAAAACGUUACUUGAUUGUUAUUCUAACCUUCAUCAGCACUUGUGUUUGCUAUAUUGAACGAGUGGGUUUCUCUAUUGCGUAUACUGUUGCGGCUGAUGCUGCUGGUGUAAACCAAUCAAGUAAAGGCACUAUACUUUCGACAUUCUAUUAUGGUUACGCCUGCUCCCAGGUGCCUGGAGGAUGGGCAGCUCAGAGAAUAGGAGGAAGGAAGGUUCUUCUCCUCUCAUUUGUUUUAUGGUCAUCAACUUGUUUUUUGGUCCCACUAGAUCCUAAUCGAGUUGUAACCUUGGUAGUUGCUCGCUUGCUUGUUGGUGUUGCACAAGGGUUCAUCUUCCCCUCCAUUCAUACUGUUCUGGCACAGUGGGUCCCACCUCAUGAAAGGUCCAGAUCCGUAUCUCUUACAACUUCCGGAAUGUACCUAGGAGCAGCUAUGGGAAUGCUUGUCCUUCCAAGUUUAGUGAAAUACAAAGGCCCCCAGUCUGUAUUUCUUGCUGAAGCAGCAUUAGGUGUUUUGUGGUCUUUGCUAUGGUUCAAAUAUGCAAGUGAUCCUCCUCGCUCUGAGCAUCCAAAAGCUGCUGCUGCAGGGUUUGGAGAAUCUUUGCUGCCAAUUAAAGUCAGUCAAAAGAUAAAAGUGGAGAAUGGAGGCAGUACUAUUAAAACCGCCAAAAUUCCAUGGAAGAGAAUUUUAGUUAGUUUACCGAUCUGGGCAAUUGUGGUAAAUAAUUUCACAUUCCAUUAUGCAUUGUAUGUGCUGAUGAACUGGCUGCCAACUUAUUUUGAACAGGGCCUUCAGCUUAGUCUUCAGGAAAUGGGUUCUUCUAAGAUGAUGCCUUAUCUUAACAUGUUUAUAUUCUCAAACAUUGGUGGGGUGGUUGCCGAUCACUUGAUCACAAAGAGAAUCUUAUCUGUGACCAGAACACGGAAGUUCUUAAACACCAUAGGAUUUUUUGUUUCUUCUCUUGCAUUGAUGGCACUUCCUAUUUUCAGAACUUCUACUGGGGCAGUUUUCUGUUCUUCUGUUGCUCUUGGCUUCUUGGCACUUGGGAGGGCUGGGUUUGCAGUGAAUCACAUGGAUAUUGCUCCAAGAUAUGCAGGAAUAGUCAUGGGAGUUUCUAAUACUGCUGGUACUUUAGCUGGGAUUAUUGGUGUUGAUCUUACUGGCCGGCUUCUUGAAGCUUCUAAAACUACUUAUUCAGACCUUUCGAGUGCAGAAAGUUGGAGAUCAGUGUUUGUCAUACCUGGGUUGCUAUGCAUUUUUAGUUCUUUCAUGUUUUUGCUAUUCUCAACUGGAGAGAGGAUUUUUGAUUAGGCAGACUUUUUUCUCAUAAUCUUUUGCAGAAGAUUAUUACCAUCUGAUGGUGAAUUGAAUAUUUGAAUUUCUACUUGAGAAUCUUCUGAUUCUUGACAUCUGCAUUGAGAGGGUGAAAGUUUAUGAGGCUAUGAAUAUUGGAAGUGGUUGGAAUACAGUGGACAGCACUCAUUUUUUGAUUUGUGAGGGUAAAUUUACUUGAAGGCAAUGUACCCUUCUCUUUCAGUUUCAUACUAGGUUAGAUUCAAUUUUUUUUGGCAUAUAUUGUUCCUAAUUUGAUAAUUCUGAUUGCAAUCAACACUGAAUUCACCUAAAACCAUGUGGUUAUGGUGAUAUUAUUUUCACAAGCUGUGGCAACUAUUAUAUACCUCACUAUGUAUGAGACUAUGAGUACUUGUACCGUUAUGAGUUAACUAUGUACCACUUGUGGAAGUCAAUUGUAUUUCAUUUUUUAUGUUUACUA